Molecule: ribosomal RNA, 517 nt
Filed under: uncultured cyanobacterium
Lineage: Bacteria; Bacillati; Cyanobacteriota
Description: bacterial SSU rRNA
Rfam family: Bacterial small subunit ribosomal RNA
Source: RNAcentral
CCGCAAUGGGCGAAAGCCUGACGGAGCAAGACCGCGUGAGGGAAGAAGGCCUGUGGGUUGUAAACCUCUUUUGAUAGGGAAGAAGUUCUGACGGUACCUAUCGAAUAAGCCUCGGCUAACUCCGUGCCAGCAGCCGCGGUAAUACGGAGGAGGCAAGCGUUAUCCGGAAUUAUUGGGCGUAAAGCGUCCGUAGGUGGUUGUUCAAGUCUUCUGUCAAAGCGCGGAGCUUAACUCCGUAAAAGGCAGAGGAAACUGAGCGGCUAGAGUGCGAUAGGGGCAGAGGGAAUUCCCAGUGUAGCGGUGAAAUGCGUAGAUAUUGGGAAGAACACCGGUGGCGAAAGCGCUCUGCUGGGUCUGCACUGACACUGAGGGACGAAAGCUAGGGGAGCGAAAGGGAUUAGAUACCCCUGUAGUCCUAGCUGUAAACGAUGGGUACUAGGCGUUGUCCGUAUCGACCCGGGCAGUGCCGUAGCUAACGCGUUAAGUACCCCGCCUGGGGAGUACGCUCGCUAGAGUG